RNAcentral lists this ribosomal RNA (491 nucleotides) under uncultured bacterium. Its description in RNAcentral is "partial 16S ribosomal RNA". It matches the Rfam family "Bacterial small subunit ribosomal RNA", at positions 28 to 507 of the family's 1533-position model. The record is from RNAcentral.
GAUGAACGCUAGCUACAGGCUUAACACAUGCAAGUCGCGGGGCAGCAUGGGGGUUGCUUGCAACCCCUGAUGGCGACCGGCGCACGGGUGAGUAACGCGUAUCCAACCUGCCCUUCACCACGGGAUAACCCGGCGAAAGUCGGACUAAUACCGAAUGUUGUCCAUUGACGGCAUCCGAUUUGGACGCAGGGCUUGGCGGUGAAAGCGUGGGGUUGCGUGCGAUUAGCUUGAUGGCGGGGUAACGGCCCACCGUGGCGACGAUCGGUAGGGGUUCUGAGAGGAGGGUCCCCCAGAGUGGAACCGGGACCCGGGCCACAGUGCUACGGGAGGGAGCAGUGAGGAAUGUAGGUGAAGGGGCGUUAGCCUGAACCAGCCAAGUAGCGUGCAGGAUGACGGCCUUAUGGGUUGUAGCCUGCUUUUAUGCGGGGAUUAAGUGGCCCACGGGUGGGCUUUUGAAGGUACCGCAUAAAUAAGGACCGGCUAAUUCCGUG